UACGUAGGGUGCAAGCGUUAAUCGGAAUUACUGGGCGUAAAGCGCACGCAGGCGGUCUGUCAAGUCGGAUGUGAAAUCCCUGGGCUCAACCUGGGAACUGCAUUCGAAACUGGCAGGCUAGAGUCUUGUAGAGGGGGGUAGAAUUCCAGGUGUAGCGGUGAAAUGCGUAGAGAUCUGGAGGAAUACCGGUGGCGAAGGCGGCCCCCUGGACAAAGACUGACGCUCAGGUGCGAAAGCGUGGGGCGCAAACAGG
This 253-nucleotide ribosomal RNA is filed under the name uncultured bacterium. RNAcentral describes it as "partial 16S ribosomal RNA". It matches the Rfam family "Bacterial small subunit ribosomal RNA", at positions 524 to 776 of the family's 1533-position model. The record is from RNAcentral.